RNAcentral lists this ribosomal RNA (468 nucleotides) under uncultured bacterium. RNAcentral's name for it is "partial 16S ribosomal RNA". It matches the Rfam family "Bacterial small subunit ribosomal RNA", at positions 28 to 507 of the family's 1533-position model. The record is from RNAcentral.
GACGAACGCUGGCGGCGUGCUUAACACAUGCCAGUCGAACGGAAAGGCCCUGCUUUUGUGGGGUGCGCGAGUGGCGAACGGGUGAGUAACACGUGAGUAACCUGCCCUUGACUUUGGGAUAACUUCAGGAAACUGGGGCUAAUACCGGAUAGGAGCUCCUGCUGCAUGGUGGGGGUUGGAAAGUUUCGGCGGUUGGGGAUGGACUCGCGGCUUAUCAGCUUGUUGGUGGGGUAGUGGCUUACCAAGGCUUCGACGGGUAGCCGGCAUGAGAGGGUGACCGGGCACAUUGGGACUGAGAUACGGCCCAGACUCCUACGGGAGGCAGCAGUGGGGAAUAUGGCACAAUGGGCGGAAGCCUGAUGAAGCAACGCCGCGUGUGGGAUGACGGCCUUCGGGUUGUAAACCGCUUUCGCCUGAGACGCAGCGUGAGUGACGGUACUGGGUAAAGAAGCACCGGCUAACUACGUG